RNAcentral lists this long non-coding RNA (511 nucleotides) under Hordeum vulgare. Its description in RNAcentral is "long non-coding RNA (HVUL_LNC000451)". Lineage: Eukaryota; Viridiplantae; Streptophyta; Magnoliopsida; Poales; Poaceae. The record is from RNAcentral.
UUAUUGAAACAUUCAACCAGUAUACUAUAAAAAUAUCAAUAAUAAAGAAAAUACAAAGAAAAUGCGAAAAGAACAAAGUAAAAUAAAAAUAGAAAAGACAUAAAAAGAGGUACAACCACAAAUGAAACGGGGAAAAGAACCUGUAAGACCGCUCGGUUAAAGUAAGACAAAAAUUAACGAAUGAAACUUUCCCAAACAGCAUGGAAGGUUCCUAAAACCGUUCAAAUUUUCUCCAUGGAAGGUUCGAAACAACUUAUAUUUUUCCAACAUAGUACAACCAAAGUUGGUCACAUAUAAACACACAUUCAUCCCUAUGAACGGACACACACAAAUCCUUCCUCUAUGAGCACCUCUGAAAAACUGGACGACGCAUCAUAUUGAACUUGAUGAAGUCUCCAGAGUCAACAGAGAAUUAUUCUCACACUUAACGCAGAUCGCUGAAAGGUCUGAAAUAAAUUCAUAAAAGUGCAACACCAAUGUUAAGUCUGGGGUUUAAAUACUGCCAGGCAGG